AAUGAUUCUUCUUUUUCUUUUUCUUUUUUUUCUAGAAUUUUUUUUCUAAAAAAUUAGUAGUAUGUUACCUGCUUUUUUUUUUUAUUUUAUUUAAAAAUAAAUUUAACUGAAAAUAUGAAUCAAUUAGGAUUUAAACUUGGAAUCUCGGUUGCCAACCACCAAGCCCUUUGUCACUUGGGUUAGGGACGGUCGGGUUUUUUUUUUUAGAAUUUUCAAAGCAGAUUCUGCACUAUCCGUCUCUAAAUUGUUAGGAAAGUUUUAUUUUGAUCCUUCAACUUUUAAGUUCGACUCCCGAGACUCCCUAUUUUUGGUUUUGUUCAAUUUAAGUUCUUAAUUUAAGAAAAUAAUUGCCCACACACGGUUGGUCUGUACAUCUCUGCAUCUAAAAAUUUAUUAUCUUCUGUCCAUCUUAUACUUUUAAUUUAACAGUCUUAUUGUGGGGAUGCUUGAUUUAAAGUAUUUAUAUUUGGAUUGAAAAUCGGAAUAAAUCAUUGUCAUUGUUAAUAUUUGGAUCGAGGAAUUGGCAUUUUGAUUUCCAUUCUCGGU
RNAcentral lists this long non-coding RNA (546 nucleotides) under Ananas comosus (pineapple). Its description in RNAcentral is "long non-coding RNA (ACOM_LNC013193)". The record is from RNAcentral. Lineage: Eukaryota; Viridiplantae; Streptophyta; Magnoliopsida; Poales; Bromeliaceae.